GACAAGAAGGCCUCUGAACAUGGGUCUGAGAUGGAUACUUUGACUGGGGCUGGCUCUCCGGGACAGCCCCUGCUUCGCCGGGUGGCCCGGAUGACCCCAUUCUGGAGAUCGCUGGGCUUCAAACCUUCCCAGGCUCAUUGCCUGCGGGACCUGGAAUGCAUCAGCAAAUACUGCAGGAAUGGCUAUUGCUCAAAGCCCCCCUGGAGUCCUGAAGCCUUGGAAGCUGGGGCUGCCUGAUCACCGAGCCACCAGAAGUCACCUGAGCCCCCACCUUCCCCCAACUUCAUUUGUGGGCUCAAAACCCCUUCUCCUUGCUUUAUUCCUCUUUGGUUUGCUUCACUGGAUGAGACGCGCCUUUUCCCAAGCUUUGGGGACAAGGAGGCAGUUACGCCCAUUAACUUGGCCCCUGCUUCGCAUUUCGAGAGGCCCAAUAGCAAAAAUUCCUUUCCCCGUAGGGCUCUGUCCUGAAGUAGUCAGCUUCCGGCCAUUGGGGUACAAAGCCAUAACUAGGCUGUGGCAACCAGGCCUUUGUCCUGGGAUGCCCAAAUUGAGAGGGUGACGACAGCCCUUCCUCUCCUUUGGUAGCAUAGAAACAAUUGACCUUAGCACCUAAUUAAUGAGAAUAAUUAGUCAGUGCCUCCCCUCACUAGUUGUAUGCACCCAAGAUCAUUCUCCUACUCCACCUCAACAACCCACAGUGAUCUCCUCAGAAGCAGCUGCAGGAAGUCCAAGACCUUAGGGCAGGAGGCUUGGUUUCCCCAUUUUGGUGUGAUGCCCCCACCCCCACCCGCCUUGUGCCCCAGCAUCUCUCCCUCCAGCCAAUGAAUUUGUCUCAAAAGGUUGACUUGAAGUACUGCUCCGUGCUACUUGCCUCAGUUAGGACAGAGCCCAGGGGCCUGGGGAGGAAGUUGCUGCCUUGUGCAAACUGCUGACUCUGGACACCUCCAGAGAGUUCAGUCUGGGAGAGCGUAGGUGGGCCCCGGCGCAUACGGGCUGACGACUGGAGAGUGACGGAGGAGGGCGGGAUCGGGGGGGGGAGGGCACCCAAAAAGAAGAUCUGAGGUUCACAGACCUCAGCUGCCCAUCACUUGGCCCUUCCUUCCAUGGCCCCCAUUCCCACGUCUGUGUAGAACUUCCUGGCCCUUCAGGGUGGUCCGGGAUGGGUACUGGAAAUGGUUGGGGAAGCAUGAGAUUUUCCAGCUCACGCCAUUUUGGGGGUGGCUCCGGACCCCAAUGCCCGAAGCGAUUGGCCAGAUGCUCGCACUAUACUGACCACCUCUGAGAUCAUCCCACGCCACAAGAGGAAGAGUCCGAGUCUCCCUCGGAGGCUUCCAGCAGCCUGGAUUGGCCCUAGCCAAAGCUGUACCCCCUCUCUUCCUUCCCCACAAACUCCUGUUGGGUGAAGGCCUUCUGACCUUAAACAUGACCUCAGGCUCAUCUGCAAAUGUGCUCAGGUGGGAGGAUGAGAAUAAAGUCUGCCACGCACUUUA
Molecule: long non-coding RNA, 1490 nt
Organism: Gracilinanus agilis (Agile Gracile Mouse Opossum)
Lineage: Eukaryota; Metazoa; Chordata; Mammalia; Didelphimorphia; Didelphidae
Exons: 2
Source: RefSeq, a predicted model, not a curated record